AAACAUGUGGUCGCAGGUUGUCUGUUAUGGGCAACAUGAGGAAAGUCCGAGCAUCUAAAAGACAGAGUGCCAGUUAACGGCUGGUGAAGGCGACUUCAAGGAAAGUGCAACAGAAAUAAACCGCCUGAAUUUCAGGUAAGGAUGGAAAGGUAGGGUAAGAGCCUACCGGGGCUGUGGUAACACGGCUCGCUCUGUAAACCCCACUCGAUGCAAGGCUAAGCAAAGGCAAAUGUGCGUCUUUUCACGCCUUUCAAAAACGCCGCUUGACCCUUUUGGCGACAAAAGGGCUAGAUAGAUGACCACAUAAUACAGAACUCGGCUUAUAGUUUAACU
This 333-nucleotide RNase P RNA is filed under the name chicken gut metagenome. RNAcentral describes it as "Bacterial RNase P class A". It matches the Rfam family "Bacterial RNase P class A". Rfam says of the family: Ribonuclease P (RNase P) is a ubiquitous endoribonuclease, found in archaea, bacteria and eukarya as well as chloroplasts and mitochondria. Its best characterised activity is the generation of mature 5'-ends of tRNAs by cleaving the 5'-leader elements of precursor-tRNAs. Cellular RNase Ps are ribonucleoproteins. The record is from RNAcentral.